RNAcentral lists this ribosomal RNA (520 nucleotides) under uncultured bacterium. Its description in RNAcentral is "bacterial SSU rRNA". It matches the Rfam family "Bacterial small subunit ribosomal RNA", at positions 8 to 518 of the family's 1533-position model. The record is from RNAcentral.
AGAGUUUGAUCAUGGCUCAGGAUGAACGCUAGCUACAGGCUUAACACAUGCAAGUCGAGGGGCAGCAUGUGGUGCUUGCAACCAAUGAUGGCGACCGGCGCACGGGUGAGUAACGCGUAUCCAACCUUCCCCUUAGUAGGGCAUAGCCCGUAGAAAUGCGGAUUAAUACCCUAUGUUGUAUAUUGAGGACAUCUGAUUUAUACCAAAGGUUCACCGCUAAGGGAUGGGGAUGCGUCUGAUUAGGUUGUUGGCGGGGUAACGGCCCACCAAGCCGACGAUCAGUAGGGGUUCUGAGAGGAAGGUCCCCCACAUUGGAACUGAGACACGGUCCAAACUCCUACGGGAGGCAGCAGUGAGGAAUAUUGGUCAAUGGACGAGAGUCUGAACCAGCCAAAGUAGCGUGCAGGAUGACGGCCCUAUGGGUUGUAAACUGCCUUUAUACGGGGAUAAAGUGACCCACGUGUGGGUUUUUGUAGGUACCGUAUGAAUAAGGACCGGCUAAUUCCGUGCCAGCCGCGGC